This 2927-nucleotide ribosomal RNA is filed under the name Citrobacter freundii. RNAcentral describes it as "bacterial LSU rRNA". It matches the Rfam family "Bacterial large subunit ribosomal RNA". Lineage: Bacteria; Pseudomonadati; Pseudomonadota; Gammaproteobacteria; Enterobacterales; Enterobacteriaceae. The record is from RNAcentral.
GGGUUGUGAGGUUAAGCGACUAAGCGUACACGGUGGAUGCCCUGGCAGUCAGAGGCGAUGAAGGACGUGCUAAUCUGCGAUAAGCGUCGGUAAGGUGAUAUGAACCGUUAUAACCGGCGAUUUCCGAAUGGGGAAACCCAGUGUGAUUCGUCACACUAUCAUUACGUGAAUACAUAGCGUAAUGAAGCGAACCGGGGGAACUGAAACAUCUAAGUACCCCGAGGAAAAGAAAUCAACCGAGAUUCCCCCAGUAGCGGCGAGCGAACGGGGAGCAGCCCAGAGUCUGAAUCAGCUUGUGUGUUAGUGGAACGGUCUGGAAAGUCCGACGGUACAGGGUGAUAGUCCCGUACACCAAAAUGCACAGGUUGUGAACUCGAAGAGUAGGGCGGGACACGUGGUAUCCUGUCUGAAUAUGGGGGGACCAUCCUCCAAGGCUAAAUACUCCUGACUGACCGAUAGUGAACCAGUACCGUGAGGGAAAGGCGAAAAGAACCCCGGCGAGGGGAGUGAAAAAGAACCUGAAACCGUGUACGUACAAGCAGUGGGAGCCUCUUUAUGGGGUGACUGCGUACCUUUUGUAUAAUGGGUCAGCGACUUAUAUUCUGUAGCAAGGUUAACCGUAUAGGGGAGCCGAAGGGAAACCGAGUCUUAACUGGGCGUUAAGUUGCAGGGUAUAGACCCGAAACCCGGUGAUCUAGCCAUGGGCAGGUUGAAGGUUGGGUAACACUAACUGGAGGACCGAACCGACUAAUGUUGAAAAAUUAGCGGAUGACUUGUGGCUGGGGGUGAAAGGCCAAUCAAACCGGGAGAUAGCUGGUUCUCCCCGAAAGCUAUUUAGGUAGCGCCUCGUGAAUUCAUCUUCGGGGUAGAGCACUGUUUCGGCUAGGGGGUCAUCCCGACUUACCAACCCGAUGCAAACUGCGAAUACCGAAGAAUGUUAUCACGGGAGACACACGGCGGGUGCUAACGUCCGUCGUGAAGAGGGAAACAACCCAGACCGCCAGCUAAGGUCCCAAAGUCAUGGUUAAGUGGGAAACGAUGUGGGAAGGCACAGACAGCCAGGAUGUUGGCUUAGAAGCAGCCAUCAUUUAAAGAAAGCGUAAUAGCUCACUGGUCGAGUCGGCCUGCGCGGAAGAUGUAACGGGGCUAAACCAUGCACCGAAGCUGCGGCAGCGACACUAUGUGUUGUUGGGUAGGGGAGCGUUCUGUAAGCCGUUGAAGGUGUACUGUGAGGUAUGCUGGAGGUAUCAGAAGUGCGAAUGCUGACAUAAGUAACGAUAAUGCGGGUGAAAAACCCGCACGCCGGAAGACCAAGGGUUCCUGUCCAACGUUAAUCGGGGCAGGGUGAGUCGACCCCUAAGGCGAGGCCGAAAGGCGUAGUCGAUGGGAAACAGGUUAAUAUUCCUGUACUUGGUGUUACUGCGAAGGGGGGACGGAGAAGGCUAUGUUAGCCGGGCGACGGUUGUCCCGGUUUAAGCAUGUAGGCGGAGGUUCCAGGUAAAUCCGGUACCUUUUUAACGCUGAGGUGUGAUGACGAGGCACUACGGUGCUGAAGUAACAAAUGCCCUGCUUCCAGGAAAAGCCUCUAAGCAUCAGGUAACACGAAAUCGUACCCCAAACCGACACAGGUGGUCAGGUAGAGAAUACCAAGGCGCUUGAGAGAACUCGGGUGAAGGAACUAGGCAAAAUGGUGCCGUAACUUCGGGAGAAGGCACGCUGAUAUGUAGGUGAAGCGGUUUACCCGUGGAGCUGAAAUCAGUCGAAGAUACCAGCUGGCUGCAACUGUUUAUUAAAAACACAGCACUGUGCAAACACGAAAGUGGACGUAUACGGUGUGACGCCUGCCCGGUGCCGGAAGGUUAAUUGAUGGGGUUAUCCGUAAGGAGAAGCUCUUGAUCGAAGCCCCGGUAAACGGCGGCCGUAACUAUAACGGUCCUAAGGUAGCGAAAUUCCUUGUCGGGUAAGUUCCGACCUGCACGAAUGGCGUAAUGAUGGCCAGGCUGUCUCCACCCGAGACUCAGUGAAAUUGAAUUCGCUGUGAAGAUGCAGUGUACCCGCGGCAAGACGGAAAGACCCCGUGAACCUUUACUAUAGCUUGACACUGAACACUGGUCCUUGAUGUGUAGGAUAGGUGGGAGGCUUUGAAGUGUGGACGCCAGUCUGCAUGGAGCCAUCCUUGAAAUACCACCCUUUAAUGGCUGGUGUUCUAACGUGGACCCGUUACCCGGGUUGCGGACAGUGUCUGGUGGGUAGUUUGACUGGGGCGGUCUCCUCCUAAAGAGUAACGGAGGAGCACGAAGGUUAGCUAAUCCUGGUCGGACAUCAGGAGGUUAGUGCAAAGGCAUAAGCUAGCUUGACUGCGAGAGUGACGGCUCGAGCAGGUGCGAAAGCAGGUCUUAGUGAUCCGGUGGUUCUGAAUGGAAGGGCCAUCGCUCAACGGAUAAAAGGUACUCCGGGGAUAACAGGCUGAUACCGCCCAAGAGUUCAUAUCGACGGCGGUGUUUGGCACCUCGAUGUCGGCUCAUCACAUCCUGGGGCUGAAGUAGGUCCCAAGGGUAUGGCUGUUCGCCAUUUAAAGUGGUACGCGAGCUGGGUUUAGAACGUCGUGAGACAGUUCGGUCCCUAUCUGCCGUGGGCGCUGGAGAAUUGAGGGGGGCUGCUCCUAGUACGAGAGGACCGGAGUGGACGCAUCACUGGUGUUCGGGUUGUCAUGCCAAUGGCAUUGCCCGGUAGCUAAAUGCGGAAGAGAUAAGUGCUGAAAGCAUCUAAGCACGAAACUUGCCCCGAGAUGAGUUCUCCCUGAGACUUAAAGUCUCCUGAAGGAACGUUAAAGACGAUGACGUUGAUAGGUCGGGUGUGUAAGUGUAGCGAUACAUUGAGCUAACCGAUACUAAUGAACCGUGAGGCUUAACCUUACAACGCCGAAG